GCCUUUGUCGAUCGUGGCGAUCACCCACUUCAGAUUCGGUCGAUACGUCUUUCCCGUGGGAAGAGUGGGUUCGAUUCCCACCGAGGGCA
Mycena polygramma is the source of this 89-nucleotide non-coding RNA. The record is from the annotation of a GenBank genome assembly. Lineage: Eukaryota; Fungi; Basidiomycota; Agaricomycetes; Agaricales; Mycenaceae.